This 429-nucleotide ribosomal RNA is filed under the name bacterium. RNAcentral's name for it is "partial 16S ribosomal RNA". It matches the Rfam family "Bacterial small subunit ribosomal RNA", at positions 355 to 776 of the family's 1533-position model. The record is from RNAcentral.
UAGGGAAUCUUCGGCAAUGGGGGCAACCCUGACCGAGCAACGCCGCGUGAGUGAAGAAGGUUUUCGGAUCGUAAAGCUCUGUUGUAAGAGAAGAACGUGUGUGAGAGUGGAAAGUUCACACAGUGACGGUAACUUACCAGAAAGGGACGGCUAACUACGUGCCAGCAGCCGCGGUAAUACGUAGGUCCCGAGCGUUGUCCGGAUUUAUUGGGCGUAAAGCGAGCGCAGGCGGUUUAAUAAGUCUGAAGUUAAAGGCAGUGGCUUAACCAUUGUCCGCUUUGGAAACUGUUAAACUUGAGUGCAGAAGGGGUGAGUGGAAUUCCAUGUGUAGCGGUGAAAUACGUAGAUAUAUGGAGGAACACCGGUGGCGAAAGCGGCUCUCUGGUCUGUAACUGACGCUGAGGCUCGAAAGCGUGGGGAGCAAACAGG